UACAGAGGUCUCAAGCGUUGUUCGGAUUCAUUGGGCGUAAAGGGUGCGUAGGCGGCGCGGUAAGUCGGGUGUGAAAUCUCGGAGCUUAACUUCGAAACUGCACUCGAUACUGCCGUGCUUGAGGACUGGAGAGGAGACUGGAAUUUACGGUGUAGCGGUGAAAUGCGUAGAUAUCGUAAGGAAGACCAGUGGCGAAGGCGGGUCUCUGGACAGUUCCUGACGCUGAGGCACGAAGGUCAGGGGAGCAAACGGG
RNAcentral lists this ribosomal RNA (253 nucleotides) under uncultured bacterium. RNAcentral describes it as "partial 16S ribosomal RNA". It matches the Rfam family "Bacterial small subunit ribosomal RNA", at positions 524 to 776 of the family's 1533-position model. The record is from RNAcentral.